RNAcentral lists this ribosomal RNA (751 nucleotides) under uncultured Filifactor sp. Its description in RNAcentral is "bacterial SSU rRNA". It matches the Rfam family "Bacterial small subunit ribosomal RNA", at positions 28 to 776 of the family's 1533-position model. The record is from RNAcentral. Lineage: Bacteria; Bacillati; Bacillota; Clostridia; Peptostreptococcales; Filifactoraceae.
GAUGAACGCUGGCGGCGUGCUUAACACAUGCAAGUCGAACGAACGACUAUUAACAGAACCUUUCGGGGCGAAGAAUAUAGAAGUUAGUGGCGGACGGGUGCGUAACGCGUGGGUAAUCUGCCUUUGUCAAAGGAAUAACUAUUCGAAAGAAUAGCUAAAACCGUAUAACAUAUUAAUAGGGCAUCCUAAUAAUAUCAAAACGAUAGUGGACAAAGAUGAGCCCGCGUCUGAUUAGCUAGUUGGUGAGAUAAAAGCCCACCAAGGCAACGAUCAGUAGCCGACCUGAGAGGGUGAACGGCCACAUUGGAACUGAGACACGGUCCAAACUCCUACGGGAGGCAGCAGUGGGGAAUAUUGCACAACGGGGGGAACCCUGAUGCAGCAACGCCGCGUGAGUGAAGAAGGCAUUCGUGUCGUAAAACUCUGUAGUAGGGGAAGAAAGAAAUGACAGUACCCUAAAAGAAAGCCCCGGCUAACUACGUGCCAGCAGCCGCGGUAAUACGUAGGGGGCAAGCGUUAUCCGGAAUAACUGGGCGUAAAGGGUGCGCAGGUGGUUUAACAAGUUAGUGGUGAAAGGCAUAGGCUCAACCAAUGUAAGCCAUUAAAACUGUUUAACUUGAGUGCAGGAGAGGAAAGUGGAAUUCCUAGUGUAGCGGUGAAAUGCGUAGAUAUUAGGAGGAAUACCAGUGGCGAAGGCGACUUUCUGGACUGCAACUGACACUGAGGCACGAAAGCGUGGGGAGCAAACAGG